Molecule: unclassified non-coding RNA, 300 nt
Filed under: uncultured Fusarium
Lineage: Eukaryota; Fungi; Ascomycota; Sordariomycetes; Hypocreales; Nectriaceae
Description: sequence contains 5.8S rRNA gene, ITS2
Rfam family: 5.8S ribosomal RNA (bases 1-89)
Source: RNAcentral
GAUGUGUAUAAGAGACAGGUGAGUCAUCGAAUCUUUGAACGCACAUUGCGCCCGCCAGUAUUCUGGCGGGCAUGCCUGUUCGAGCGUCAUUUCAACCCUCAAGCCCAGCUUGGUGUUGGGAUCUGUGUGCAAACACAGUCCCCAAAUUGAUUGGCGGUCACGUCGAGCUUCCAUAGCGUAGUAAUUUACACAUCGUUACUGGUAAUCGUCGCGGCCACGCCGUUAAACCCCAACUUCUGAAUGUUGACCUCGGAUCAGGUAGGAAUACCCGCUGAACUUAAGCAUAUCAAUAAGCGGAGG